UCCGGUUUUUCACCGGCAGUCUCUUUAGAGUGCUCAGCAUAACCUGGUGGCAACUAAAGACAGGGGUUGCGCUCGUUGCGGGACUUAACCCAACAUCUCACGACACGAGCUGACGACAACCAUGCAGCACCUCUGCGGACUCCCUUGCGGGUCAGCCACUGUUUCCAACAGCUUACCAUCCGUACAUGUCAAGGGUAGGUAAGGUUCUUCGCGUUGCGUCGAAUUAAACCACAUGCUCCACCGCUUGUGCGGGCCCCCGUCAAUUCCUUUGAGUUUCAACCUUGCGGUCGUACUCCCCAGGCGGGGUACUUCCUGCGUUAGCGCCGGCACCCAGAGGGUCGCUCCCCCAGGCACCUAGUACCCAUCGUUUACGGCGUGGACUAC
Molecule: unclassified non-coding RNA, 384 nt
Filed under: uncultured bacterium
Lineage: Bacteria
Description: contains 16S-23S intergenic spacer region
Source: RNAcentral